RNAcentral lists this ribosomal RNA (301 nucleotides) under uncultured bacterium. RNAcentral describes it as "partial 16S ribosomal RNA". It matches the Rfam family "Bacterial small subunit ribosomal RNA", at positions 509 to 809 of the family's 1533-position model. The record is from RNAcentral.
CAGCCGCCACGGUAAUACGAAGGGUGCAAGCGUUACUCGGAAUUACUGGGCGUAAAGCGUGCGUAGGUGGUGGUUUAAGUCCGUUGUGAAAGCCCUGGGCUCAACCUGGGAAUUGCAGUGGAUACUGGGUCACUAGAGUGUGGUAGAGGAUAGUGGAAUUUCCGGUGUAGCAGUGAAAUGCGUAGAGAUCGGAAGGAACAUCUGUGGCGAAGGCGACUAUCUGGGCCAACACUGACACUGAGGCACGAAAGCGUGGGGAGCAAACAGGAUUAGAUACCCGCGUAGUCCCUGUCUCUUAUAA